This is a small nuclear RNA of Dermacentor silvarum, 184 nucleotides long. RefSeq annotates it as U2 spliceosomal RNA. The record is from RefSeq and is a predicted model, not a curated record. NCBI's taxonomy places the organism in Eukaryota, Metazoa, Arthropoda, Arachnida, Ixodida, Ixodidae. The transcript has a single exon.
AUACAUGGGCAACGCGGAUCAAAGUGUAGUAUCUGUUCUUAGCAGUUUAUAAUAAUACAUGGGUUGUAUUGGAACCCAAGAUAUUAAACUUAUUUUUGCAAGUUGGCGGUGUGCUUAAAGCCUGCUUCACCUCCACCGGGGGUCGGCCCGGCAUUGCACAAUCUUCGGGAUCUGCAUGCGGUUG